UACGUAGGGUGCAAGCGUUAAUCGGAAUUACUGGGCGUAAAGCGUGCGCAGGCGGUUCGCUAAGACAGAUGUGAAAUCCCCGGGCUUAACCUGGGAACUGCAUUUGUGACUGGCGGGCUAGAGUAUGGCAGAGGGGGGGUAGAAUUCCACGUGUAGCAGUGAAAUGCGUAGAGAUGUGGGAGGAAUACCGAUGGCGAAGGCAGCCCCCUGGGCCCAAUACUGACGCUCAUGCACGAAAGGCGUGGGGAGCAAACAGGAUUACGAA
RNAcentral lists this ribosomal RNA (265 nucleotides) under uncultured bacterium. RNAcentral's name for it is "partial 16S ribosomal RNA". It matches the Rfam family "Bacterial small subunit ribosomal RNA", at positions 524 to 784 of the family's 1533-position model. The record is from RNAcentral.